CCUGAUGCAGCGACGCCGCGUGAGGGAUGACGGCCUUCGGGUUGUAAACCUCUUUCAGUAGGGAAGAAGCGAAAGUGACGGUACCUGCAGAAGAAGCGCCGGCUAACUACGUGCCAGCAGCCGCGGUAAUACGUAGGGCGCAAGCGUUAUCCGGAAUUAUUGGGCGUAAAGAGCUCGUAGGCGGUUUGUCGCGUCUGCCGUGAAAGUCCGGGGCUCAACUCCGGAUCUGCGGUGGGUACGGGCAGACUAGAGUGAUGUAGGGGAGACUGGAAUUCCUGGUGUAGCGGUGAAAUGCGCAGAUAUCAGGAGGAACACCGAUGGCGAAGGCAGGUCUCUGGGCAUUAACUGACGCUGAGGAGCGAAAGCAUGGGGAGCGAACAGGAUUAGAUACCCUGGUAGUCCAUGCCGUAAACGUUGGGCACUAGGUGUGGGGGACAUUCCACGUUUUCCGUACCGUAGCUAACGCAUUAAGUGCCCCGCCUGGGGAGUACGGCCGCAAGGCUAAAACUCAAAGGAAUUGACGGGGGCCCGCACAAGCGGCGGAGCAUGCGGAUUAAUUCGAUGCAACGCGAAGAACCUUACCAAGGCUUGACAUGAACCGGAAACACCUGGAAACAGGUGCCCCGCUUGCGG
This 633-nucleotide ribosomal RNA is filed under the name Arthrobacter sp. Se1Pt_300. RNAcentral describes it as "bacterial SSU rRNA". It matches the Rfam family "Bacterial small subunit ribosomal RNA", at positions 382 to 1026 of the family's 1533-position model. The record is from RNAcentral. Lineage: Bacteria; Bacillati; Actinomycetota; Actinomycetes; Micrococcales; Micrococcaceae.